GAUGAAGAACGUAGCGAAAUGCGAUAACUAGUGUGAAUUGCAGAAUUCAGUGAACCAUCGAGUCUUUGAACGCACAUUGCGGCCGCUGGUAUUCCGGCGGCCACGCCUGUCCGAGCGCCACACACCACCCUCAGGCCUAGCCUGGUGUUGGAGGGCCCUGGAGUUUUUUUGCUCCAGGGCCCCCCGAAAAGCAGUGGCGGCGACGCUGACGACGCAACGCGAGCAGUAGCAACACUCUCGCGGGCCCGCAGCGCUGCCUGCCGGCUCCUUUAGGGGCCGCAACAACUUAUCACAGGUUGGCCUCGGAUCAGGCGGGAGUACCCGCUGAACUUAAGCAUAUCAAUAAGCGGAGGA
This 354-nucleotide unclassified non-coding RNA is filed under the name soil metagenome. RNAcentral describes it as "partial contains 5.8S ribosomal RNA, internal transcribed spacer 2, and large subunit ribosomal RNA". The stretch from base 1 to 120 matches the Rfam family "5.8S ribosomal RNA", at positions 35 to 154 of the family's 154-position model. The record is from RNAcentral.